Long non-coding RNA from Homo sapiens (human), 1101 nucleotides. Ensembl annotates it as SDHA pseudogene 4. Its record names the gene SDHAP4. The record is from Ensembl. Lineage: Eukaryota; Metazoa; Chordata; Mammalia; Primates; Hominidae.
GUGGUGCGCAGGCGCAGUCUGCGCAGGGACUGGCGGGACUGCGCGGAGGCGACUGCAGACGUAUCGGGGGUCCGGAGCCUGUCGCGGCUGCUAAGCGCUCGGCGCCUGGCGCUGGCGCUGGCCAAGGCUUGGCCAACAGUGUUGCAAACAGGAACCCGAGGUGUUCACUUCACUGUUGAAGGAACGAGAGGGCAUCUGCUAAAGUUUCAGAUUCCAUUUCUGCUCAGUAUCCAGUAGUGGAUCAUGAAUUUGAUGCAGUGGUGGUAGGCGCUGGAGGGGCAGGCUUUGCGAGCUGCAUUUGGCCUUUCCGAGGCAGAGUUUGAUACAGCAUGUGUUACCAAGCUGUUUCCUACCAGGUCACACACUGUUGCAGCGCAGCUAGAAAAUUAUGGCAUGCCGUUUAGCAGAACUGAAGAUGGGAAGAUUUAUCAGCGUGCAUUUGGUGGACAGAGCCUCAAGUUUGGAAAGGGCAGGCAGGCCCAUCGGUGCUGCUGUGUGGCUGAUCGGACCGGCCACUCAAUAUUGCACACCUCAUAUGGGAGGUCUCUGAGAUAUGAUACCAGCUGUUUUGUGGAGUAUUUUGCCUUGGAUCUCCUGAUAGAGAACAGGGAGUGCCGUGGUGUCAUUGCACUGUGCAUAGAGGACGGGUCCAUCCAUCACAUAAGAGCAAAGAACACUGUUGUUGCCACAGGAGUCAAGAAACUUUUCUUUUGAGCUAUUGACAGCUUUUAACAAGUUAUUAUACUCCUAUGAACAAAAUUUGGAGCAUAUUUGUUUCUCUCUGCCUGAUUUCUCCUGAAUUUGGAAACUAUUUUGCCAUGGUCUCCAUGAACUGAUUUUUUUGUGCAGUGGGCAGGAAGAACCCAUCGGGCAGCUACACAUCUUGAAAGAGAAGCUCUUCCUGUGAGAUUGUUUGCUGUUGGCAUAUACAAAUGCUAGAGAUUUUUGUAUGUUGAUUUUGUAUCCUGCAACUUUGCUGAAAUUUGUUUACCAGUUCUAAUAGUUCUUUGGUGGAGUCUUCAGCUUUUUCCAAAUAUAAGAUCAUAUCAUCUGCAAACAAAGAUAAUUUGACUUCUUCCAUUCUAACUUGGAUUCCGUUUA